AAAUUCAGUGCAGCAAAAUUAGAGACUAGGGACUCUGUCCCAGGGGAAGGAUGAAUGUCAUUGUUGAGGUACACAAAAGCAAGGGAAACGGCUGCUUCUGCCAGAGCCUCACAGAAGAGCAACUCCUGGGUCAAUGGAUUGUCCUCAGCUUUGCAAGACCAGCCACCUGCUCUUCUUUCAUUGAAUGCAGAUGUUAUCACCUCUGAGGAUGACAAAUCAGUUUCUUCCCACCUGGUCAGACUGGACUUUGUGUUGUCUACUGAUGAACCCACUGAAGAUCCUUUUCUUCUCUUUAUCUUUUUAUCCAACAGUUGAGCUGUAAGUGCCAAAAAAAAAUAUUUUGUAUGAGCAAGAUGGAAAAACAUUAUGCACUUCCCACACCACAGCAGUGAAUGCUUUCAAAAGGCUACUUACCAAAGUGAGUCUUCCUUUGACUCCAAAAGCAGCCACAUUGCUUAGUAAGGCUGUCUUUGGCUAUCUAGGAUUGUCAAUUGUUGGCAUCAAAAUGGAUGAUAUUUUCAACCUCUUGCUUCUAC
This 536-nucleotide long non-coding RNA is filed under the name Homo sapiens (human). Its description in RNAcentral is "MIR31 host gene". Lineage: Eukaryota; Metazoa; Chordata; Mammalia; Primates; Hominidae. The record is from RNAcentral.